RNAcentral lists this ribosomal RNA (460 nucleotides) under uncultured bacterium. RNAcentral's name for it is "partial 16S ribosomal RNA". It matches the Rfam family "Bacterial small subunit ribosomal RNA", at positions 338 to 795 of the family's 1533-position model. The record is from RNAcentral.
CCUACGGGAGGCAGCAGUGAGGAAUAUUGGUCAAUGGACGAGAGUCUGAACCAGCCAAGUAGCGUGAAGGAUGACUGCCCUAUGGGUUGUAAACUUCUUUUAUAUGGGAAUGAAAUGUUCCACGUGUGGGAUUUUGUAUGUACCAUAUGAAUAAGGAUCGGCUACCUCCGUGCCAGCAGCCGCGGUAAUACGGAGGAUCCGAGCGUUAUCCGGAUUUAUUGGGUGUAAAGGGAGCGUAGGUGGAUUGUUAAGUCAGUUGUGAAAGUUUGCGGCUCAACCGUAAAAUUGCAGUUGAAACUGGCAGUCUUGAGUACAGUAGAGGUGGGCGGAAUUCGUGGUGUAGCGGUGAAAUGCUUAGAUAUCACGAAGAACUCCGAUUGCGAAGGCAGUUCACUGGACUGCAACUGACACUGAGGCGCGAAAGUGUGGGUAUCAAACAGGAUUAGAUACCCUUGUAGUC